Molecule: long non-coding RNA, 975 nt
Organism: Fundulus heteroclitus (mummichog)
Lineage: Eukaryota; Metazoa; Chordata; Actinopteri; Cyprinodontiformes; Fundulidae
Exons: 2
Source: RefSeq, a predicted model, not a curated record
AGGGUUAGGGUUAGGCGAUUUGGCCCCUUUUACCCAAAUAUCACAUCUUAAAUCCCAUGGAUUGUCAAGCAUUGCAGCAAAAUAUCAGGGAGAGCGGAUUUUGACAUUUUGGUGUAGGAUUAGGCUGGAUGUGAAGUCUAUGGAGGUUGGCGCUCCAUGGUCCAUGGGUGUGUGUGAGUGCGCUGGUGCCCGGGCUUGGUUGCUGGUAGCAGGGGUGGGUGCAGGGUCUGAUGUGGAGACUCAGUGUUUCCCCUGGUUCUCAGGAGGCUUUACUUGGUACACCUGCAGCCACUUGCUGCACUCUUGAUUGCAUGAGCAGAAGGCAGCUGUGGGUACCUAACAUGCCAAUCAACGAAUGACUGAGGAGCAGUACUUAACAGCCCAGGACCGGAGCGGACUUCUUUCCCCUCCACUGUUCACACGAUUCUCAUAUCAACAUGGCGCCCCCAAAGCAUAGUGUUUGUUGCCCACUCUGCCGUUCUGAAUUUACCUAUAUAGGCAGGCACCUAAGAAAUAGUCAUGGCAUUAAAAAUUCAAAAGAGCGAGAAAUAUUGAUCAAGUACAGUAGUGGGAGGGUCAAUAUUAGAAAAAUGCCCUGUCCAGUGGAGGGCUGCAGUUAUGCUAGCACAAGGCUGGACAGGCAUAUUGCUCAAGCUCACCCGGAGAUGGAGGGGGAGAGGAAAGCCCAGGUGAUAACCGAUUUGAAGUACCAGGUAACGGUGCACAUGCUGCGAGCGUUGAGCGCCACAAACCCGAGCCCUCCGAUGGUCUCACGCUUACACAUGGACCCAAUAGCAAGAGAGGAAGCAAAUCGGUAUCAUCCAACAUCAGAACCCCUUGAUGACGAACCAUCGCCUUCAUCCUGCAACUCGUGCAAACAGCUUGAGGCAAAGAACCUGCAGCUUAUAUCCGACUUGGGGCAACUAAGAAAGAAAUUGCUGUACCAGCACAGAUGGGCUGAAAGGGCAAAAAAAA